CAAUGCAGGCCUGAUGAUCUCUGCCAGGAGCUGCUGUAGUUUUGUGGUGGAUGGAGGGUAAUCCAAAUAUCGGCCUGGACGAGGAGCAGAUCGGUCUCUGCAACGUGUGGCAGGCCCGCGUCUGCGCGAGACCACCAUCCAGCCAUCCCAUUGUGGGGUUGUCAUUAUCAAGCUGAAGAGGAUAUCAAUAAAGUAAUGGUAAGCAGGAUAAGAUGCUGUCUCUGUAUAGAGCAACAAGCAUUCAAGUAGAUGGCAGUUGGAG
Paramormyrops kingsleyae is the source of this 262-nucleotide long non-coding RNA. RefSeq lists it as uncharacterized. The record is from RefSeq and is a predicted model, not a curated record. NCBI's taxonomy places the organism in Eukaryota, Metazoa, Chordata, Actinopteri, Osteoglossiformes, Mormyridae.